Molecule: unclassified non-coding RNA, 298 nt
Filed under: Hevea brasiliensis (rubber tree)
Lineage: Eukaryota; Viridiplantae; Streptophyta; Magnoliopsida; Malpighiales; Euphorbiaceae
Source: RNAcentral
GUCUGAACGAGUCUCCGCUAUUUCCGUUUCGCUCGAUCCAAAACCUUCCCCUUAUUCUUUUUGUCUCAAAACCCUCUCAGAAUCCUUCAAGAUUUUCCCGAGAAACAAACGCAUUUUCUCUUUNNNNNNNNCCUUCUCGCUCUUCCUCUCUCUUUCCUCAACUUCUUACUCUCUCUCUCCUCUUACCCGAUCAAGUCACAGAUUUUCCACCUCGAAUUACUCGCCUCCCGUGCCCCUACUCGCUUCGAAGCUCGCCAGGUCUGGAAAGAGUCACGCGAGGUUGCUCUCUCUCUCCUCC